Molecule: ribosomal RNA, 250 nt
Filed under: uncultured bacterium
Lineage: Bacteria
Description: partial 16S ribosomal RNA
Rfam family: Bacterial small subunit ribosomal RNA
Source: RNAcentral
UACGGAGGAUGCGAGCGUUAUCCGGAUUUAUUGGGUUUAAAGGGUGCGCAGGCGGGUUAUUAAGUCAGCGGUGAAAUCUCCAGGCUCAACCUGGGAACUGCCGUUGAAACUGGUAAUCUUGAGUAUAGAUGAAGUAGGCGGAAUUCGUUGUGUAGCGGUGACAUGCUUAGAUAUAACGAGGAACUCCAAUUGCGUAGGCAGCUUACUAAACUAUAACUGACGCUCAUGCACGAAAGCGUGGGGAUCAAAC